GUUCCCUCCUCCUCUUUAAUACGUAGGGGGCAAGCGUUACCCGGAAUUACUGGGCGUAAAGGGGGCGUAGGCGGUAAAAUAAGUCAUCUGUGAAAACCUAUUGCUCAACGAUAGGCUAGCGGAUGAAACUGAAUUACUUGAGGGCACCAGAGGUAGACGGAAUUACCCGAGUAGGGGUGAAAUCCGCAGAUACGGGUAGGAACGCCGGUGGAGAAGUCGGUCUACUGGGGUGCACCAGACGCUGAGGCCCGAAAGCUAGGGGAGCAAACCGGAUUAGAUACCCGGGUAGUCCUAGCCGUAAACGAUGCUCACUAGGUGUAGGGAGUGAUAAACUCUCUGUGCUGAAGCGAACGCGCUAAGUGAGCCGCCUGGGGAGUACGGCCGCAAGGAUGAAACUCAAAGAAAUUGGCGG
This 412-nucleotide ribosomal RNA is filed under the name uncultured bacterium. Its description in RNAcentral is "bacterial SSU rRNA". It matches the Rfam family "Bacterial small subunit ribosomal RNA", at positions 505 to 916 of the family's 1533-position model. The record is from RNAcentral.